Non-coding RNA from Theobroma umbraticum, 2155 nucleotides. Lineage: Eukaryota; Viridiplantae; Streptophyta; Magnoliopsida; Malvales; Malvaceae. The record is from RefSeq and is a predicted model, not a curated record.
AAAAGAGAAAAUUUGUGCAUGAAAUAUGAGUGGGGGGUGAGUUGGUCCAAUGAGAAAUGAGGAAUGAAUGAACAAAAGUGAAGAAAAAAGAAAAGAAAAUAAUAGAAAAAGAAAGUAACCUUGGGCAAUCCAUCCAUGUGUGAGCAAAAUGAGAAAAUGAAAGCCAUUUUAUGGCUUUUGUCUUGAGAGGUCUGCCUAUAACAAAGAAGAAAAGAGAAAGAAAGAGAGAAAAGAAAGAAAAGAAAAGAAACAUGCAAGAAGGGCUCUGGUUUUAGAAGAAAAAUGUGAAGAAAACAAGUGAGUUCCAUAAGUGAUUUGCCCAUUUGGAAGAGAAAUGAAGAGGAGAUGGCCUUGUGGAGCUUCCACCCGAGAGAAGAGGAAAGAUUGAAAAGAAAGAAAGAAAGAGAAUCGGAUUAAAAGAAGAAGAAAAGAGAAAACCGAGAGGUUUUCCUCCCCACCCACACACCAUUGUUGAAGUUUAAAGAGAUUUUGGCAGUUUGGCUUGGAGAUUUCAAGCAAAAGAAUACCGUGUGGGGUGCCAAGGAAACCAUGCAUGUUGGUGAUUCACAAGAAAUGUGAGAUUACACUACCAAAGAGCUUGAGAUUUCUUGGUUUUAGUUCAAGUUAAAUUAUUGAGGAAUGGAAGUGUAUAAGUAAAGAAAGUGUGCUUGGUGGCGUGCCGGGGAGGUAAUGGGUGAUCGACGAGUAGAAUUAGCUAGAUAUGCACCCAAAUUGAUAGCGAUGCAGUGUCUCGCUGUUGUAAGCUUGAUUUCCCCGAUGUUGGUCAAUAUCAUCGAGACUGCCAUGGCUGUGGGAAUCUAGCGGAGCAACGUUCUUGGAUUGAUAUUACUUGGAGGAGGGUCCACGGGUGAUUACAAUGCUUACCUACUCGAGAGCCUUAUAAUGAUCGGCCUAGCUUGCAAUCAUUAGUGCUUAUGGUCCACCGUAAAUAGGUUUGUUCAGGGACUGGGCAGGUUCUCUUGCAAGAUUUAGACGCCAGUAGUGAUCAAGGAGUGGUCGUUACAUAAAUGCCAAGAUUCAAGAGUAAAAAGGAGAAAAAGGAAUUGACCUUGAGAAGUUAAGAGAGAGUCAGCCAUUGAGAGAGGGAAAGAAAUAAGAAAGUACCUUUGAGGAGAUCCACCCGAGAGGAAGAAAAAAAGAAAGAAAAAGAGGGGAAAGUGGGAAAGGCUUAGGUUGUGAGGAUUUAAGAGAAAUUGUGAGGGUUCCUUCCUUUAUCUUGUAGAGUUGUGAUAUUCUACCACCCAAAGAGUCUUCAACAUUUAAGAGAGAAACCGUGGAGUGUUGAUGGAGGUGUAAAGCUUAGUUUCAAGGUACAAAAGAAACAAGUGGCAGCAAAGAUUAGCUUGAUUGGAGAGGAUUUAGUGACAUGCAAGCCAUCAAACUCUUGGAUGCAUGAUGGAUUCAAAGUGAAAGAGAAACGCAAGAUCUUCAAAGAAUCAAAGGAUCAGAUGCAUGCAUGUUGAUUGUGCACGAGUAUGUGGUGAUUAGAGCUUUAAAAGAAUAUUGAGAUGUAUGCAAGAUCCAAGCCAUCACAAAAGGUGUUUGAAGGAAGAAUUUUAGUAAAAGAAAGAGAGCAAUUUCAAGGUGCAGACUUCCACUGCACAUAUUUCGGUAUUUCGGCCAUAACUUUCUCUACAGUGCUUGAAAUGAAACGAUUCUUGAACCAUUGGAAAGAUAAGAGAGAAAAAACCUACAACUUCACUCACUUCAAGUUGGAUGGGGGUCAAAAAUCUUGUCAAAGUCCUAGAGCAAUUAUGAUUUCUGUUAAUUAAUUGGACAAGGCUGUGAGUUACAUAGUCAGGUGAGGAAAUUCUAGCUGACAUUGACUUCUUUCUCCACCCAACUUGGCCUAACUUCAAAGCCUAUAAAAAUAACCUUUCAGAAAGAAAGGAAAAAAACCACUAGAUUAAAAACUGAGCGUCAAGCCACAAGAGUCAUUGAAGCUAAGAAGAAUUUGAAGGAUUCAAAGAGAUUUGGAGAUCAAGAAUACAACUCUUGAAUUUUCCUAUCUUUUCUGUUAUUCUUUUAUUUUCUUGGUUUUGUUCUCAUUGUUUAAACUUUAUUCAAUGAUGAUGUGUGACUUGAUAGGGAACUAAAUUUUUAAUCUAAGAUUAUGAUAAAAGUCAUUAUGUAA